UUCCGGUUGAUCCUGCCGGAGGCGACCGCUUUGGGAGUUCGAUUAAGCCAUGCGAGUCGUGAGUCUUAGGGACUCGGCAUACUGCUCAGUAACACGUGGAUAACCUGCCCUAUCGUCUGGAAUAACCUCGGGAAACUGAGAAUAAGGCCGGAUAGUUCACAAUGCCUGGACCGGUUUGUGAAUCAAGGUAGGAUGGGUCUGCGGCGUAUCAGGUUGUAGGGGGUGUAAAGGACCCCCUAGCCUUCGACGCGUACGGGUGUUGGGAGACAUAGCCCGGAGAUGGAUUCUGAGACACGAAUCCAGACCCUACGGGGUGCAGCAGGCGCGAAAACUUCACACUGCAGGAAACUGUGAUGAGGGAACUCCUAGUGCAUGCACUAUGUGUAUGUAGAUCCUACUCUUAACAAGUAGAGGGAAAGGGCUGGGAAAGACCGGUGCCAGCCGCCGCGGUAAUACCGGCAGCUCAAGUGGUCGUCGCUUUUAUUGGGCCUAAAACGUCCGUAGCCUGUUUGGUAAAUCUGUGGGUAAAUCAAUCCGCUCAACGGAUUGAAUUCUGCAGAGACUGCCAGACUAGGGACCGGGAGAGGUGUGGGGUACUCGAGGGGUAGGGGUAAAAUCCUGUCAUCCUUCGAGGACCACCAGUUGCGAAGGCGCCACACUGGAACGGAUCCGACGGUCAGGGACGAAGCCUAGGGGCACGAACCGGAUUAGAUACCCGGGUAGUCCUAGGUGUAAACGCUGUGAACUUGGUGUCGGGGGUCCGCAAGGGGUCCCCGGUGCCGGAGUGAAGAUGUUAAGUUCACUGCCUGGGGAGUACGGUCGCAAGGCUGAAACUUAAAGGAAUUGGCGGGGCAGCAC
RNAcentral lists this ribosomal RNA (858 nucleotides) under uncultured euryarchaeote. RNAcentral's name for it is "bacterial SSU rRNA". It matches the Rfam family "Archaeal small subunit ribosomal RNA", at positions 1 to 879 of the family's 1478-position model. The record is from RNAcentral. Lineage: Archaea; Methanobacteriati; Methanobacteriota.